GCCCUGGCCGGGCGGUCUGCCUUCACGGUAUGUACUGUCUGGCUGGGGCUUACCUCUUGGUGAGCUUGCAUGCCGUUUAUUCGGUGUGUGAGGGAACCAGGACUUUUACUUUGAGAAAAUUAGAGUGUUCAAAGCAGGCACAUGCCUGAAUACAUUAGCAUGGAAUAACAAAGUAGGACG
RNAcentral lists this ribosomal RNA (180 nucleotides) under uncultured Glomeromycotina. Its description in RNAcentral is "partial small subunit ribosomal RNA". Lineage: Eukaryota; Fungi; Glomeromycota. The record is from RNAcentral.